Molecule: ribosomal RNA, 254 nt
Filed under: uncultured bacterium
Lineage: Bacteria
Description: partial 16S ribosomal RNA
Rfam family: Bacterial small subunit ribosomal RNA
Source: RNAcentral
UACGUAGGGUCCGAGCGUUGUCCGGAAUUAUUGGGCGUAAAGGGCUCGUAGGCGGUCUGUUGCGUCGGGAGUGAAAACUUACAGCUUAACUGUGAGCGUGCUUCCGAUACGGGCAGACUUGAGGUAUUCAGGGGAGAACGGAAUUCCUGGUGUAGCGGUGAAAUGCGCAGAUAUCAGGAGGAACACCGGUGGCGAAGGCGGGGUCUCUGGGCCGAUACUGACGCUGAGGAGCGAAAGCGUGGGGAGCGAACAGG